This 711-nucleotide long non-coding RNA is filed under the name Numida meleagris (helmeted guineafowl). RNAcentral's name for it is "lncRNA (ENSNMEG00000017299.1)". The record is from RNAcentral. Lineage: Eukaryota; Metazoa; Chordata; Aves; Galliformes; Numididae.
GAACAAUGCUCCUUUCUUAUGGAGGUGUUUCUCCACAGCUGGUGUAGCAUACGCAGAAGCCCAGAGUGGUGCUGCAAAGUUCUUACAGGGCUCAUUAGAGCUGACCCGCUUCUCUGUUGUGUUUUCAGCUUCUGGAUAAUGGCAUCUUCAAACUCCUGCUAACAGCAGUGUGGUAGAAAUGUCUUCCCACUUCUGAAGCAUAGUUUUGGUCCCCUCCAAGCUUCAGCUUUGCUGGAGUGGCCAAGGCACCUUGAAGUAAGGGCGAACCUACGGUGACUGCUUUCUGUAACGCAUAUUUGCACAUCAGCUCUAACAUAAAACAAGUAUCUUCCCUGCCAGAUUUGUACUCUCCUGGUAAAGAGGAUACCCAGCAGUCUUUACUCAGGUUUGCUCUCAAGACAGAGGCCUCACAUCUCGGUCCACCAGCCAGGAAGAUGUUGGCCUUCAGCUUUUUGGGCAACUUUUGACCCUACCUCUGCACUCUGGAUGGGUUUUGGAUGUCCCUUUGAAUGCACUGCCUUUCAGCACAGAGCCACCAGAAGCUAAGCAGGCCAGGAAGAGGCCCACGUAAAGCACUGCUCACUGGGACGCAUGGAGAAAUCAAGGCCUCCGGACACUGUGCCUCCACCUCGGCUCCUGAAGGCAGGGUAAGCAGUUUGCAGCAUACAGAAAACAUAUGCUUCUUUUUGGUACUUAGAAGUGAUCAAAUGA